This 800-nucleotide ribosomal RNA is filed under the name uncultured bacterium. RNAcentral describes it as "bacterial SSU rRNA". It matches the Rfam family "Bacterial small subunit ribosomal RNA", at positions 8 to 843 of the family's 1533-position model. The record is from RNAcentral.
AGAGUUUGAUCAUGGCUCAGGGUGAACGCUGGCGGCGUGCCUAAGACAUGCAAGUCGAACGGGCCUGAUUUCGGUCAGGCUAGUGGCGGACGGGUGAGUAACACGUGGGUGAUCUACCCCAAAGUCUGGGACAACUAGGGGAAACCUUAGCUAAUCCCGGAUGGUGAGGCUUCUCCUGUGAAGUCUCUAAAGAUUUAUCGCUUUGGGAUGAGCCCGCGGCGCAUCAGCUAGUUGGUGGGGUAAUGGCCUACCAAGGCGACGACGCGUAGCUGGUCUGAGAGGACGACCAGCCACAGGAGCACUGAGACACGGGCUCCACUCCUACGGGAGGCAGCAGUUAGGAAUCUUCGUCAAUGGGCGAAAGCCUGAACGAGCGACGCCGCUUGAGGGACGAAGCCCUUCGGGGUGUAAACCUCUGAACAGGGGACGAUGAUGACGGUACCCUGCUAAUAGCACCGGCUAACUCCGUGCCAGCAGCCGCGGUAAUACGGAGGGUGCGAGCGUUACCCGGAUUUACUGGGCGUAAAGGGCGUGUAGGCGGUUUUCUAAGUCCGGGGCUAAAGACCAGGGCUCAACCCUGGGUUUGCCUUGGAUACUGGAAAGCUCGACGGCUGGAGGGGGCAGCGGAAUUUCCGGAGUAGCGGUGAAAUGCGCAGAUACCGGAAGGAACGCCAAUAGCGAAGGCAGCUGCCUGGACAGUACGUGACGCUGAGGCGCGAAAGCGUGGGGAGCAAACCGGAUUAGAUACCCGGGUAGUCCACGCCCUAAACGAUGAGUGCUGGGUGUCCGGCGUUGCCGGG